This 497-nucleotide ribosomal RNA is filed under the name uncultured bacterium. RNAcentral describes it as "partial 16S ribosomal RNA". It matches the Rfam family "Bacterial small subunit ribosomal RNA", at positions 28 to 507 of the family's 1533-position model. The record is from RNAcentral.
GAUGAACGCUGGCGGCGUGCCUAAUACAUGCAAGUCGAGCGAACAGACGAGGAGCUUACUCCUCUGACGUUAGCGGCGGACGGGUGAGUAACACGUGGAUAACCUACCUAUAAGACUGGGAUAACUUCGGGAAACCGGAGCUAAUACCGGAUAACAUGUUGAACCGCAUGGUUCAACAGUGAAAGACGGUCUUGCUGUCACUUAUAGAUGGAUCCGCGUCGCAUUAGCUAGUUGGUAAGGUAACGGCUUACCAAGGCAACGAUGCGUAGCCGACCUGAGAGGGUGAUCGGCCAAACUGGAACUGAGACACGGUCCAGACUACUACGGGAGGCAGCAGUAGGGAAUCUUCAGCAAUGGGCGAAAGCCUGACGGAGCAACGCCGCGUGAGUGAAGAAGGUCUUCGGAUCGUAAAACUCUGUUAUUAGGGAAGAACAAAUGUGUAAGUAACUAUGCACGUCUUGACGGUACCUAAUCAGAAAGCCACGGCUAACUACGUG